ACGUAGGGGGCAAGCGUUAUCCGGAUUUACUGGGUGUAAAGGGAGCGUAGACGGUAUGGCAAGUCUGAUGUGAAAGGCCAGGGCUCAACCCUGGGACUGCAUUGGAAACUGUCGAACUAGAGUGUCGGAGAGGCAAGUGGAAUUCCUAGUGUAGCGGUGAAAUGCGUAGAUAUUAGGAGGAACACCAGUGGCGAAGGCGGCUUGCUGGACGAUGACUGACGUUGAGGCUCGAAAGCGUGGGGAGCAAACAG
RNAcentral lists this ribosomal RNA (251 nucleotides) under uncultured bacterium. Its description in RNAcentral is "partial 16S ribosomal RNA". It matches the Rfam family "Bacterial small subunit ribosomal RNA", at positions 525 to 775 of the family's 1533-position model. The record is from RNAcentral.